CUCUAUCCACUGAAGCUGUAUGAAUCAUGCCAUAAUGUAAAUUAAAUAAUCCAAUGUAAAACUUUUUACUUUCUUAACUCCAAUUUAGGUUUAGGGAGCACAUUUAUUAUUUACCUAAAUUAACACUCAGCCAUUCAAGCCUUUGGGUUUUUAGAAAGCAUAGUCUUACUCAGGAUGUUUGUUUGACUUUGAUAUGGAAGAAGUCUUUGAUUUGGACCUUUGCAAGCAGACAGGCACACAGUGCAUACCGAAGGCUUUGGCCACAUCACCUGGGCAGCUGCAUCCUCCAUCCUGGUGAGAAAAGGACACUGUGAGGAAACUGCAACUGUCAUUGGAACAUCGGACUCUCAGAGACAACUCUCAGUGCCUGGUGUACUCGUAGUUGUUUUCACCAUAAACAACUACUCAACACCAGAACUGAACAAUUGUUUUCAGAUCCAUGCCAUUAAGUCUUCUAAAAAAUAAACAUCAGAAAUGUAACAAGGAUCAGGAGUCAGAGGGCAAGGUCUUCAGGCAAAGUCAUGGGAGGACUCACUGAGAUAAUGUGGCCUUUCAGUCCAUGGGCGGAGUCAGCACACUCCAUAACAGCGCUGAGCUGGGGGUACCCCACCCCUGUCUUGAUGCGUGUUGUGCACACAGAACCUGCAGACAGUGUAGCAGUAGCAUGUUGCUAUGAAAGGUAUUGUAAUUUAUACCACUGGUGCAGUUCAUCACACCCCAUUACUGUCAGUCUCUGAGUGGACAUUGCCCAGUCACAGAACAGCUGUAAAAAACAACUUCCAAAGAUUGGACUGUGCUGUAAUUUCAUGCUGGGACUCAAGGGGAUAUCAAAUUUCCACUAAUCAACCCAUUUUUAGGCACAUGAGAUUGUUACAUUAAAGUUCUAGGAAAAUGUUUGGAGGGAUGUACCAAUGUUUAAAAAAAAACACAAAAAUUAAUUUUCUUGGUAUGUUAUUGAUACUUCCAGCAGUGUCCUUUUUAAGCUUCUUACAAUAGAACAUAUUUCAAAUUCCAGUAUUUCAAAGUAUGUUUAAACAGAUACUGCAUAUUUGAGGUGGUUAUAAUAGAUUG
Molecule: long non-coding RNA, 1071 nt
Organism: Anguilla anguilla (European eel)
Lineage: Eukaryota; Metazoa; Chordata; Actinopteri; Anguilliformes; Anguillidae
Exons: 4
Source: RefSeq, a predicted model, not a curated record